Molecule: ribosomal RNA, 254 nt
Filed under: uncultured bacterium
Lineage: Bacteria
Description: partial 16S ribosomal RNA
Rfam family: Bacterial small subunit ribosomal RNA
Source: RNAcentral
UACGUAGGCAGCGAGCGUUGUUCGGAGUUACUGGGCGUAAAGGGUGUGUAGGCGGUUGUUUAAGUUUUGUGUGAAAUCUCCCGGCUCAACUGGGAGGGUGCGCCGAAUACUGAAUGACUUGGAGUGCGGGAGAGGAGAGUGGAAUUCCUGGUGUAGCGGUGAAAUGCGUAGAUAUCAGGAGGAACACCGGUGGUGUAGACGGCUCUCUGGACCGUAACUGACGCUGAGACACGAAAGCGUGGGUAGCAAACAGG